CGACCAUAUCAUGUUGAAAAUUGGUUCCCAUGUGAUCACCGAAGUUAAGCAACGUCGAACUUUGUCAGUACCUAGAUGGGUGACUGCUUGGGAAUACCAGGUGAUGUA
Non-coding RNA from Acanthosepion pharaonis, 108 nucleotides. The record is from the annotation of a GenBank genome assembly. Lineage: Eukaryota; Metazoa; Mollusca; Cephalopoda; Sepiida; Sepiidae.